RNAcentral lists this ribosomal RNA (1564 nucleotides) under Vibrio vulnificus. RNAcentral's name for it is "partial 23S ribosomal RNA". It matches the Rfam family "Bacterial large subunit ribosomal RNA", at positions 1 to 1622 of the family's 2925-position model. Lineage: Bacteria; Pseudomonadati; Pseudomonadota; Gammaproteobacteria; Vibrionales; Vibrionaceae. The record is from RNAcentral.
GGUUAAGUGACUAAGCGUACACGGUGGAUGCCUUGGCAGUCAGAGGCGAUGAAGGACGUAGUAACUUGCGAUAAGCGUAGAUGAGGCAGUAACAGCCACUUGAGUCUACGAUUUCCGAAUGGGGAAACCCACUGGCAUAAGCCAGUAUCAUUGAGUGAAUACAUAGCUCAAUGAAGCGAACCGGGAGAACUGAAACAUCUAAGUACCCCGAGGAAAAGAAAUCAACCGAGAUUCCGAAAGUAGCGGCGAGCGAAAUUGGAUUAGCCCUUAAGCUUUACAUGUGUUAGACGAACGGUCUGGAAAGUCCGACGAUACAGGGUGAUAGUCCCGUAGUUGUAGACGCAUGUUCAGUGAAAUCGAGUAGGGCGGGACACGUGUUAUCCUGUCUGAAUAUGGGGGGACCAUCCUCCAAGGCUAAAUACUCCUGACUGACCGAUAGUGAACCAGUACCGUGAGGGAAAGGCGAAAAGAACCCCUGUGAGGGGAGUGAAAUAGAACCUGAAACCGUGUACGUACAAGCAGUAGGAGCACCUUCGUGGUGUGACUGCGUACCUUUUGUAUAAUGGGUCAGCGACUUAUAUUCAGUGGCAAGGUUAACCAUCUAGGGGAGCCGUAGGGAAACCGAGUCUUAACUGGGCGUCAUAGUCUCUGGAUAUAGACCCGAAACCGAGUGAUCUAGCCAUGGGCAGGUUGAAGGUUGAGUAACAUCAACUGGAGGACCGAACCGACUAAUGUUGAAAAAUUAGCGGAUGACUUGUGGCUAGGGGUGAAAGGCCAAUCAAACUCGGAGAUAGCUGGUUCUCCCCGAAAGCUAUUUAGGUAGCGCCUCGGACGAAUACUACUGGGGGUAGAGCACUGUUAAGGCUAGGGGGUCAUCCCGACUUACCAACCCUUUGCAAACUCCGAAUACCAGUAAGUACUAUCCGGGAGACACACGGCGGGUGCUAACGUCCGUCGUGGAGAGGGAAACAACCCAGACCGCCAGCUAAGGUCCCAAAUUACAGCUAAGUGGGAAACGAUGUGGGAAGGCUUAGACAGCUAGGAUGUUGGCUUAGAAGCAGCCAUCAUUUAAAGAAAGCGUAAUAGCUCACUAGUCGAGUCGGCCUGCGCGGAAGAUGUAACGGGGCUAAGUUGUAAACCGAAGCUGCGGCAAUAUCUUUUAGAUAUUGGGUAGGGGAGCGUUCUGUAAGCCGUUGAAGGUGUGUUGUAAAGCAUGCUGGAGGUAUCAGAAGUGCGAAUGCUGACAUGAGUAACGACAAGGGGGGUGAAAAACCUCCCCGCCGGAAGACCAAGGGUUCCUGUCCAACGUUAAUCGGGGCAGGGUAAGUCGACCCCUAAGGCGAGGCCGAAAGGCGUAGUCGAUGGGAAACGGGUUAAUAUUCCCGUACUUCUUACAAUUGCGAUGGGGGGACGGAGAAGGCUAGGUGGGCCUGGCGACGGUUGUCCAGGUUCAAGUGCGUAGGCUGAGUGUUUAGGUAAAUCCGGACACUCUUAAGGCUGAGACACGACGUCGAGCUACUACGGUAGUGAAGUCAUUGAUGCCAUGCUUCCAGGAAAAGCCUCU